RNAcentral lists this ribosomal RNA (253 nucleotides) under uncultured bacterium. RNAcentral describes it as "partial 16S ribosomal RNA". It matches the Rfam family "Bacterial small subunit ribosomal RNA", at positions 524 to 776 of the family's 1533-position model. The record is from RNAcentral.
UACGAAGGGGGCUAGCGUUGCUCGGAAUCACUGGGCGUAAAGGGUGCGUAGGCGGGUCUUUAAGUCAGGGGGGAAAUCCUGGAGCUCAACUCCAGAACUGCCUUUGAUACUGAAGAUCUUGAGUUCGGGAGAGGUGAGUGGAACUGCGAGUGUAGAGGUGAAAUUCGUAGAUAUUCGCAAGAACACCAGUGGUGAAGGCGGCUCACUGGCCCGAUACUGACGCUGAGGAGCGAAAGCGUGGGGAGCGAACAGG